This is a long non-coding RNA of Suricata suricatta (meerkat), 725 nucleotides long. RefSeq lists it as uncharacterized. The record is from RefSeq and is a predicted model, not a curated record. NCBI's taxonomy places the organism in Eukaryota, Metazoa, Chordata, Mammalia, Carnivora, Herpestidae. The transcript is spliced from 3 exons.
GUGUGUGUGUGUGUGUGUGUGCGUGCGAGAGGAGAGGAGCCUACCAUGCGUUUCCCCCAGUGCUGAUCGCGGGAGAGCCCAAUCACAGGGCGAGCUGGAUCGGGCUGCGAUCAUUUAUAAUCCUGGACUCCUCCGCUCCGCCACUUGUCAAGAUGACAGGCUUUCGGCUCUGAUGAGGGUCUGCCUGCCGCUGAUUGCAAACACUAAUGAACUUACAGCGCCAUUUGAAAUUCACACGCACCUAAGAAGUGCGGGGGUAGGGUGGGCAUUUCAGGUCAGCUGAGUCACCCGACUGAGGUAGGAGCGCAAGGCACUGCCGGGAAGAUGGAUUCUGAGGCAGGCGGGUGUAAUUAAGGAUUUCCACUCCCGGUAGGCGGCCCGUCCUUUACAAGAGGCUCGGAAAAUGACCUGCGCCUUUCCUUCCAGAGUGUCCUCUCGCCCUAGACUGAAAAGCGCAAAUGACCUUCGCACGCGGGAAGCCGUUAAGCACAAGCCCCAGCUCGGCGCCGGCGGAGAACAAGUGUCCGCCCUCCGGUUCAGGCACCAAGACCUCCCCAACAAUCUUGCGCUGGCCGGUGGGGACGGAUUCUGGAGUCCUCUAAAGGCUCCUCUCCCCGCAUUCUCCGACGCCUCCCCCCACCCGGUUCUCCUUUCAGAUUAGCAGCUAAACGCUACCCCUGCUUCGACUUUGCUGUGGGAGGGAAAUAAAAGUUUACUGCUCCCCA